GACUUGUUGAAAUGUUUUUCCUUUUUUCCUCUUUUGUCCCCUGGCACUGGGAUGGUGGUGGUCUGUGGGUGCUGUCUCAGGGUGCCCUUAGAAAAGGACAACUCAGAAGAGUUUCGUCAGCGAGAGCUGCGUGCGGCCCAGUUGGCUCGAGAGAUUGAAUCAAGCCCCCAGUACCGCCUACGGAUCGCCAUGGAGAACGACGAUGGGCGCACUGAAGAGGAGAAGCACAGUGCAGUCCAGCGGCAGGGCUCAGGGCGGGAGAGCCCCAGCUUGGCAUCCAGGGAGGGGAAGUAUAUCCCUCUGCCUCAACGAGUCCGGGAAGGUCCCCGGGGAGGAGUUCGAUGCAGCAGCUCUCGGGGCGGUCGGCCUGGCCUUAGCUCUUUGCCACCUCGUGGCCCUCACCAUCUGGACAACAGCAGCCCUGGCCCAGGUUCUGAGGCCCGUGGUAUCAAUGGAGGUGAGUUAUGAGGUGACUUUGAGGGGCAGGGCAGGGAAGGGGAUGCCAAGGAGGUGGGAGGGUAAUUGGAGGGGUUUGGGUGUGUUGGAAUGACGCUGCAUCUGUGGGAAUGUAAUAGGUCGUCUGCCUCCUGACAUUUUCUUCUC
RNAcentral lists this small RNA (603 nucleotides) under Pan troglodytes (chimpanzee). RNAcentral's name for it is "retained intron". Lineage: Eukaryota; Metazoa; Chordata; Mammalia; Primates; Hominidae. The record is from RNAcentral.